AUUGAACGCUGGCGGCAUGCUUUACACAUGCAAGUCGAACGGUAACACGCCUUCGGGUGCUGACGAGUGGCGAACGGGUGAGUAAUGCAUGGGAACGUGCCCCGAUGUGGGGGGUAAUGCAGCGAAAACUGUGCUAAUACCGCCGGUGAUCUGAGGAUGUAAGCGGGGGACCAGGCAGCAAUGUUUGGCCUCGCGCCUUUGGAGCGGCCGAUGUCAGAUUAGGUAGUUGGUGGGGUAAAGGCCUACCAAGCCGACGAUCUGUAGCUGGUCUGAGAGGACGACCAGCCACACUGGGACUGAGACACGGCCCAGACUCCUACGGGAGGCAGCAGUGGGGAAUGUUGGACAAUGGGCGCAAGCCUGAUCCAGCAAUGCCGCGUGCGGGAAGAAGGCCUUCGGGUUGUAAAACGCUUUUGUACGGAAAGAAAAGGCUCUGGCUAAUACCUGGGGCUGAUGACGGUACCGUAAGAAUAAGCACCGGCUAACUACGUG
RNAcentral lists this ribosomal RNA (492 nucleotides) under uncultured bacterium. RNAcentral describes it as "partial 16S ribosomal RNA". It matches the Rfam family "Bacterial small subunit ribosomal RNA", at positions 30 to 507 of the family's 1533-position model. The record is from RNAcentral.